This 1794-nucleotide ribosomal RNA is filed under the name Salmonella enterica subsp. enterica serovar Enteritidis. RNAcentral's name for it is "partial 23S ribosomal RNA". It matches the Rfam family "Bacterial large subunit ribosomal RNA", at positions 1025 to 2802 of the family's 2925-position model. Lineage: Bacteria; Pseudomonadati; Pseudomonadota; Gammaproteobacteria; Enterobacterales; Enterobacteriaceae. The record is from RNAcentral.
ACCCAGACCGCCAGCUAAGGUCCCAAAGUCAUGGUUAAGUGGGAAACGAUGUGGGAAGGCCCAGACAGCCAGGAUGUUGGCUUAGAAGCAGCCAUCAUUUAAAGAAAGCGUAAUAGCUCACUGGUCGAGUCGGCCUGCGCGGAAGAUGUAACGGGGCUAAACCAUGCACCGAAGCUGCGGCAGCGACACUGUGUGUUGUUGGGUAGGGGAGCGUUCUGUAAGCCUGUGAAGGUGUGUCGUGAGGCAUGCUGGAGGUAUCAGAAGUGCGAAUGCUGACAUAAGUAACGAUAAAGCGGGUGAAAAGCCCGCUCGCCGGAAGACCAAGGGUUCCUGUCCAACGUUAAUCGGGGCAGGGUGAGUCGACCCCUAAGGCGAGGCCGAAAGGCGUAGUCGAUGGGAAACGGGUUAAUAUUCCCGUACUUGGUGUUACUGCGAAGGGGGGACGGAGAAGGCUAUGUUGGCCGGGCGACGGUUGUCCCGGUUUAAGCGUGUAGGUGUGUGUUCCAGGUAAAUCCGGUUCACUUUAACACUGAGGCGUGACGACGAGGCACUACGGUGCUGAAGCAACAAAUGCCCUGCUUCCAGGAAAAGCCUCUAAGCAUCAGGUAACAUCAAAUCGUACCCCAAACCGACACAGGUGGUCAGGUAGAGAAUACCAAGGCGCUUGAGAGAACUCGGGUGAAGGAACUAGGCAAAAUGGUGCCGUAACUUCGGGAGAAGGCACGCUGACACGUAGGUGAAGUGAUUUACUCAUGGAGCUGAAGUCAGUCGAAGAUACCAGCUGGCUGCAACUGUUUAUUAAAAACACAGCACUGUGCAAACACGAAAGUGGACGUAUACGGUGUGACGCCUGCCCGGUGCCGGAAGGUUAAUUGAUGGGGUCAGCGCAAGCGAAGCUCCUGAUCGAAGCCCCGGUAAACGGCGGCCGUAACUAUAACGGUCCUAAGGUAGCGAAAUUCCUUGUCGGGUAAGUUCCGACCUGCACGAAUGGCGUAAUGAUGGCCAGGCUGUCUCCACCCGAGACUCAGUGAAAUUGAACUCGCUGUGAAGAUGCAGUGUACCCGCGGCAAGACGGAAAGACCCCGUGAACCUUUACUAUAGCUUGACACUGAACAUUGAGCCUUGAUGUGUAGGAUAGGUGGGAGGCUUUGAAGUGUGGACGCCAGUCUGCAUGGAGCCGACCUUGAAAUACCACCCUUUAAUGUUUGAUGUUCUAACGUGGACCCGUUACCCGGGUUGCGGACAGUGUCUGGUGGGUAGUUUGACUGGGGCGGUCUCCUCCUAAAGAGUAACGGAGGAGCACGAAGGUUGGCUAAUCCUGGUCGGACAUCAGGAGGUUAGUGCAAUGGCAUAAGCCAGCUUGACUGCGAGCGUGACGGCGCGAGCAGGUGCGAAAGCAGGUCAUAGUGAUCCGGUGGUUCUGAAUGGAAGGGCCAUCGCUCAACGGAUAAAAGGUACUCCGGGGAUAACAGGCUGAUACCGCCCAAGAGUUCAUAUCGACGGCGGUGUUUGGCACCUCGAUGUCGGCUCAUCACAUCCUGGGGCUGAAGUAGGUCCCAAGGGUAUGGCUGUUCGCCAUUUAAAGUGGUACGCGAGCUGGGUUUAGAACGUCGUGAGACAGUUCGGUCCCUAUCUGCCGUGGGCGCUGGAGAACUGAGGGGGGCUGCUCCUAGUACGAGAGGACCGGAGUGGACGCAUCACUGGUGUUCGGGUUGUCAUGCCAAUGGCACUGCCCGGUAGCUAAAUGCGGAAGAGAUAAGUGCUGAAAGCAUCUAAGCACGAAACUUGCCCCGA